This 485-nucleotide ribosomal RNA is filed under the name uncultured bacterium. Its description in RNAcentral is "partial 16S ribosomal RNA". It matches the Rfam family "Bacterial small subunit ribosomal RNA", at positions 28 to 507 of the family's 1533-position model. The record is from RNAcentral.
GAUGAACGCUGGCGGCGUGCUUAACACAUGCAAGUCGAACGGGAUCCAAGGGGUGCUUGCACUUUUUGGUGAGAGUGGCGAACGGGUGAGUAACACGUGAGUAACCUGUCCUUUUCUUUGGGAUAAGCAUUCGAAAGGGUGUUUAAUACCUUAUGUUCUGUCUGCCUCGCAUGGGGUGGGUGGGAAAGGCUUUGGCCGGAUUUGGGUGGGCUCGCGGUCUAUCAGCUUGUUGGUGGGGUGAUGGCUUACCAAGGCUUUGACGGGUAGCCGGCCUGAGAGGGUGGUCGGUCACAUUGGGACUGAGAUACGGCCCGGACUCCUGCGGGAGGCAGCAGUGGGGGAUAUUGCACAAUGGGCGAAAGCCUGAUGCAGCGACGCCGCGUGGGGGAUGAAGGCCUUCGGGUUGUAAACUUCUUUUGCUCUGAACAAGGCAUGCCAGUGGGUGUGUUGAGUGUAGGGGUGGAUUAGCGCCGGCUAACUACGUG